AUUGAGCGCUGGCGGCAUGCCUUACACAUGCAAGUCGAACGGCAGCACGGGAGCAAUCCUGGUGGCGAGUGGCGAACGGGUGAGUAAUAUAUCGGAACGUGCCCAGUCGUGGGGGAUAACGUAGCGAAAGCUACGCUAAUACCGCAUACGAUCUAUGGAUGAAAGCGGGGGAUCGCAAGACCUCGCGCGAUUGGAGCGGCCGAUAUCAGAUUAGGUAGUUGGUGAGGUAAAGGCUCACCAAGCCGACGAUCUGUAGCUGGUCUGAGAGGACGAACCAGCCACACUGGGACUGAGACACGGCCCAGACUCCUACGGGAGGCAGCAGUGGGGAAUUUUUGGACAAAUGGGCGCAAGCCUGAUCCAGCAAAUGCCGCGUGCAGGAUGAAGGCCUCGG
Molecule: ribosomal RNA, 394 nt
Filed under: uncultured bacterium
Lineage: Bacteria
Description: bacterial SSU rRNA
Rfam family: Bacterial small subunit ribosomal RNA
Source: RNAcentral